RNA transcript from Amaranthus tricolor (Joseph's coat), 1225 nucleotides. It is a transcript of the gene named protein SAWADEE HOMEODOMAIN HOMOLOG 1-like, with no coding region annotated. NCBI's taxonomy places the organism in Eukaryota, Viridiplantae, Streptophyta, Magnoliopsida, Caryophyllales, Amaranthaceae. The transcript has 9 exons. The record is from RefSeq and is a predicted model, not a curated record.
CGAAAACAGUAAAAAAAAAAAUGGAAAACAUUCAAAAAAAAAAAAAUCGAAACGGAGUUAAAAGAUAAUUUAUGAGCCACAUUUUCCAGGUGCAUAAAUCCUUGAAAAACCAAACCAACACUGACAAUUCCUCCACAGAGUAAAAGUAGGGUUUUUCUUCCAUGGAUCGUCUUCGACCCAGAGAAAGAAAGGUCUUUUCUGGCUUCACAGAUCCUGAAAUUGAGAAGCUGGAAAUCUUAUUUACAGAACAUAGAGAAUUGUCACUUAACCGACAUUUUUGUGUAAGAGUUGCACAAAGUUUCAGUCGCUCUGCUGGACGGGCUGGGAAACCUGUAGUUAAGUGGCCUGAGGUGCAAAGUUGGUUCCGCGACAGACAGAAAAUGGGUCCAGCUAAAGCAAAUACUCCAUCAAUCAAUCAAAAAAAGAUUACUCUUCCCAGUGUAUCUAAAAAUGCGGCUGCUCUACCAGAUGCUUCUGACAAAAAGAAGGUUGAUGAAACCAACCAGGUGUUUGAAGGAGAGAAGUUGCCGGAUCUAUCGGAGUUGGAGUUUGAGGCUAAGUCAUCUAGGGAUGGAGCUUGGUACGAUGUUGAUAGAUUCAUCACACACAGAAUUAUCACCUCAGGCGAAGCUGAAGUUCUAGUGAGAUUUUUUGGGUUUGGAUCUGACGAAGACGAGUGGGUUAAUGUGAAAAAUGACGUGCGAGAGCGUUCAAUCCCGCUAGAUAACUGGGAAUGUCAAAAAGUCAAACCUGGGGAUGACAUGCUCUGCCUUCUGUCUUCUACCGUUUGUUGCAGGAACGAAAAGAUCAGGCUAUAUAUUAUGAUGCACAUAUUUUGGAUGUUCAGCGGAAAAUGCAUGAUAUAAGGGGAUGUAGGUGCAUUUUUUUGAUUCAGUAUGACCACGAUAAGAGUGAGGAAAAGGUUCGUUUACGGAGAUUAUGUCGAAGGGCAUGACAAAGAAGAGCAGGAAAUGAUAUUUGCUGUGAUCCAGAGUUUUUUGUUUGUGGUUGAAAAUUAUGAAAUAGUGGGGUGAUGUACACAUUUUAAGAACCAAAUUUUGUUAAGCUUUGAUUGUGUGAUCCAUUUUGAUUGCCAUUAGGUUUCUACCACCAUUAUAGUAGGAAAGUAGCAUUAAAAGUUAAGAGAUUCAACUCAACCCAUUGUAUAUUUUUGGUCCCAUUUUAACUCUUAAGACAAUGAAUAGUAAAAUCUUUGGUUGUUCUA